This is a non-coding RNA of Notechis scutatus (mainland tiger snake), 264 nucleotides long. The record is from RefSeq and is a predicted model, not a curated record. Lineage: Eukaryota; Metazoa; Chordata; Lepidosauria; Squamata; Elapidae.
ACAUUUAUCCAAUUCUGCCUUGCUCUCUGAAAAUGAUCAAUUAUCAGCAAAUUUCAAAUUCUUUUCUCCCCCCCAGGUACUGAUUUGCUCAAACUGUCCCGCAAUGAUCUUGUACAGAUCUGUGGAAUGGCAGAUGGGAUUAGACUUUCAAAUGCUCUAAAAGCAAGGACUGUGCGCCCUCGUCUCAUUCUUUAUGUGUCCAAGGAACUAGAAGCAAGUGGGAACAAUGCUCCCCCAAACCCAGCAUCUGUUAUAUACCAGGAA